Molecule: ribosomal RNA, 254 nt
Filed under: uncultured bacterium
Lineage: Bacteria
Description: partial 16S ribosomal RNA
Rfam family: Bacterial small subunit ribosomal RNA
Source: RNAcentral
GACGUAGGGCGCGAGCGUUGUCCGGAUUUAUUGGGCGUAAAGAGCUCGUAGGCGGCUUGUCGCGUCGACUGUGAAAACCCGUGGCUCAACCAUGUGGUCUGCAGUCGAUACGGGCAGGCUAGAAUUCGGUAGGGGAGACUGGAAUUCCUGGUGUAGCGGUGAAAUGCGCAGAUAUCGGGAGGAACACCGGUGGCGAAGGCGGUUCUCUGGGCCUUACCUGACGCUGAGGAGCGAAAGCGUGGGGAGCGAACAGG